This 537-nucleotide ribosomal RNA is filed under the name Blepiarda pr. apicalis ARC4881. RNAcentral's name for it is "partial 16S large subunit ribosomal RNA". It matches the Rfam family "Bacterial large subunit ribosomal RNA", at positions 1819 to 2625 of the family's 2925-position model. The record is from RNAcentral. Lineage: Eukaryota; Metazoa; Arthropoda; Insecta; Coleoptera; Curculionidae.
GGCUUAUUGAUUAUAAUUUUAAGUCUGACCUGCCCUAUGAGUGUUUAAAUGGCCGCAGUAAUUUGACUGUGCAAAGGUAGCAUAAUCAUUAGUUUUUUAAUUGAAAGCUGGAAUGAAUGGUUUGAUGAGAAAAUUUCUGUCUCUAUCUAAAUUUAUUAGAAAUUUAUUUUUAAGUAAAAAAGCUUAAAUAAACAUAGAAGACGAGAAGACCCUAUAGAGUUUAAUAGUUAUUUAUAUAAAUUUUAUUUUAGGAUUGAUGGAUUUAUAUAUUAGAUUAUUUGAUUGGGGUGAUAGAAAAAUUUGAUUAACUUUUUUUUUAUUGGACCAUUAAUUUAUGAAUAUUUGAUCCUUUUGCAUAAGAUUAAAAGAAUAAAUUACCUUAGGGAUAACAGCGUAAUUUUUUUUUAGAGCUCUAAUCGAAAAUAAAGAUUGCGACCUCGAUGUUGGAUUAAAAUAAAUUAUUGGUGUAGAAGCUAAUAAAAUUAGGUCUGUUCGACCUUUAAAAUUUUACAUGAUCUGAGUUUAGACCGGCGUGAG